UACGAAGGGGGCUAGCGUUGCUCGGAAUCACUGGGCGUAAAGGGUGCGUAGGCGGGUUCUUAAGUCAGAGGUGAAAUCCUGGAGCUCAACUCCAGAACUGCCUUUGAUACUGAGAAGCUUGAGUCCGGGAGAGGUGAGUGGAACUGCGAGUGUAGAGGUGAAAUUCGUAGAUAUUCGCAAGAACACCAGUGGCGAAGGCGGCUCACUGGCCCGGUACUGACGCUGAGGUGCGAAAGCGUGGGGAGCAAACAGG
This 253-nucleotide ribosomal RNA is filed under the name uncultured bacterium. RNAcentral describes it as "partial 16S ribosomal RNA". It matches the Rfam family "Bacterial small subunit ribosomal RNA", at positions 524 to 776 of the family's 1533-position model. The record is from RNAcentral.